ACUGGCUAUACCAUCAUGAACAUGCAUAAUCUCAUCUGAUCUCAGAUACUAAGUAAGCUUGAGCCCGAUUAGUCCUUGGAUGGGAGAAAUACUAGGUAGAGUCAAAC
RNAcentral lists this ribosomal RNA (107 nucleotides) under Erinaceus europaeus (western European hedgehog). Lineage: Eukaryota; Metazoa; Chordata; Mammalia; Eulipotyphla; Erinaceidae. The record is from RNAcentral.